This 72-nucleotide transfer RNA is filed under the name Marmota monax (woodchuck). It matches the Rfam family "tRNA". From Rfam's summary of the family: Transfer RNA (tRNA) molecules are approximately 80 nucleotides in length. Their secondary structure includes four short double-helical elements and three loops (D, anti-codon, and T loops). Further hydrogen bonds mediate the characteristic L-shaped molecular structure. tRNAs have two regions of fundamental functional importance: the anti-codon, which is responsible for specific mRNA codon recognition, and the 3' end, to which the tRNAs corresponding amino acid is attached (by aminoacyl-tRNA synthetases). tRNAs cope with the degeneracy of the genetic code in two manners: having more than one tRNA (with a specific anti-codon) for a particular amino acid; and 'wobble' base-pairing, i.e. permitting non-standard base-pairing at the 3rd anti-codon position. The record is from Rfam by way of RNAcentral. Lineage: Eukaryota; Metazoa; Chordata; Mammalia; Rodentia; Sciuridae.
GAAGAUGUAUCUCAGUGGUAGAGCAUUUGCCUAAUAUGCACAAGGACCUGGGUUCAAUCCCCAGUAUCACCA